This 476-nucleotide ribosomal RNA is filed under the name uncultured organism. RNAcentral's name for it is "partial 16S ribosomal RNA". It matches the Rfam family "Bacterial small subunit ribosomal RNA", at positions 334 to 801 of the family's 1533-position model. The record is from RNAcentral.
CACUCCUGCGGGAGGCAGCAGUGGGGAAUUUUGGACAAUGGGCGAAAGCCUGAUCCAGCAAUGCCGCGCGAGUGAAGAAGGCCUUCGGGUUGUAAAGCUCUUUUGUCAGGGAAGAAACGGUGAGAGCUAAUAUCUCUUGCUAAUGACGGUACCUGAAGAAUAAGCACCGGCUAACUACGUGCCAGCAGCCGCGGUAAUACGUAGGGUGCAAGCGUUAAUCGGAAUUACUGGGCGUAAAGCGUGCGCAGGCGGUUUUGUAAGUCUGAUGUGAAAUCCCCGGGCUCAACCUGGGAAUUGCAUUGGAGACUGCAAGGCUAGAAUCUGGCAGAGGGGGGUAGAAUUCCACGUGUAGCAGUGAAAUGCGUAGAUAUGUGGAGGAACACCGAUGGCGAAGGCAGCCCCCUGGGUCAAGAUUGACGCUCAUGCACGAAAGCGUGGGGAACAAACAGGAUGAGAUACCCCUGUAGUCCCAUGAU